ACAUACGACCAUACCCACUGUUGAGAAUUCGGGAUCCCGUCCGCUCUCCCAUAGACAAGCCAGUGAGGGGCGGACUAGUAGUUGGGUCGGUGAUGACCAGCGAAUACCCGCUGUUGUAUGUU
Fusarium oxysporum f. sp. lycopersici 4287 is the source of this 122-nucleotide ribosomal RNA. The record is from Rfam. Lineage: Eukaryota; Fungi; Ascomycota; Sordariomycetes; Hypocreales; Nectriaceae.